AGUGAACGCUGGCGGUAGGCCUAACACAUGCAAGUCGAACGGCAGCACAGUAAGAGCUUGCUCUUACGGGUGGCGAGUGGCGGACGGGUGAGGAAUACAUCGGAAUCUACUUUUUCGUGGGGGAUAACGUAGGGAAACUUACGCUAAUACCGCAUACGACCUAUGGGUGAAAGCAGGGGAUCUUCGGACCUUGCGCGAUUGAAUGAGCCGAUGUCGGAUUAGCUAGUUGGCGGGGUAAAGGCCCACCAAGGCGACGAUCCGUAGCUGGUCUGAGAGGAUGAUCAGCCACACUGGAACUGAGACACGGUCCAGACUCCUACGGGAGGCAGCAGUGGGGAAUAUUGGACAAUGGGCGCAAACCUGAUCCAGCCAUACCGCGUGGGUGAAGAAGGCCUUCGGGUUGUAAAGCCCUUUUGUUGGGAAAGAAAAGCAGCAGGUUAAUACCCCGCUGUUCUGACGGUACCCAAAGAAUAAGCACCGGCUAACUUCGUG
RNAcentral lists this ribosomal RNA (492 nucleotides) under uncultured bacterium. Its description in RNAcentral is "partial 16S ribosomal RNA". It matches the Rfam family "Bacterial small subunit ribosomal RNA", at positions 29 to 507 of the family's 1533-position model. The record is from RNAcentral.